This 484-nucleotide ribosomal RNA is filed under the name uncultured bacterium. RNAcentral describes it as "partial 16S ribosomal RNA". It matches the Rfam family "Bacterial small subunit ribosomal RNA", at positions 28 to 523 of the family's 1533-position model. The record is from RNAcentral.
GACGAACGCUGGCGGCGUGCUUAACACAUGCAAGUCGAACGAUGAAGCUAGAGCUUGCUCUGGUGGAUUAGUGGCGAACGGGUGAGUAACACGUGAGUAACCUGCCCCGAACUCUGGGAUAACUGCUGGAAACGGUAGCUAAUACCGGAUAUGACCAAUGAAGGCAUCUUCUGUUGGUGGAAAGAAUUUCGGUUCGGGAUGGACUCGCGGCCUAUCAGCUUGUUGGUGAGGUAACGGCUCACCAAGGCGACGACGGGUAGCCGGCCUGAGAGGGUGAUCGGCCACACUAGGACUGAGACACGGCCCAGACUCCUACGGGAGGCAGCAGUGGGGAAUAUUGCACAAUGGGCGCAAGCCUGAUGCAGCAACGCCGCGUGAGGGACGACGGCCUUCGGGUUGUAAACCUCUUUUAGUAGGGAAGAAGCGAAAGUGACGGUACCUGCAGAAAAAGCACCGGCUAACUACGUGCCAGCCGCCGCCGUAA